AUCGCUUCUCAGCCUUUUGGCUAAGAUCAAGCAUAGUAUCUGUUCUUAUCAGUUUAAUAUCUGAUACAUCCUCUAUCCGAGGACAAUAUAUUAAAUAUAUUUUUGGAGUCGGGAGAUGGAAUAGGAGCUUGCUCAAAAAAAAAAAAAAUAUGUAAAGGUCCUUUUCCUUUUCCUCACAAUGCAUUAUCUGAAGGGUUCAAGUGCC
RNAcentral lists this small nuclear RNA (205 nucleotides) under Cebus imitator (Panamanian white-faced capuchin). RNAcentral's name for it is "U2 spliceosomal RNA (ENSCCAG00000001240.1)". It matches the Rfam family "U2 spliceosomal RNA". From Rfam's summary of the family: U2 is a small nuclear RNA (snRNA) component of the spliceosome (involved in pre-mRNA splicing). Complementary binding between U2 snRNA (in an area lying towards the 5' end but 3' to hairpin I) and the branchpoint sequence (BPS) of the intron results the bulging out of an unpaired adenosine, on the BPS, which initiates a nucleophilic attack at the intronic 5' splice site, thus starting the first of two transesterification reactions that mediate splicing. The record is from RNAcentral. Lineage: Eukaryota; Metazoa; Chordata; Mammalia; Primates; Cebidae.